AGUGAUUUGGUACUUUAAAGAAGUGAUGUGUGAGAGGAGUUAACUCUUAGUCUUAAUUAUGAAUACGAAGAAGAUGAAUACCAAAGAUUCUUCCUGGGAAAUCAAGUGUUGAUCUCUGAGUAACACCAUAGUUACUGCUGACUGGGAACUGGCACAAUCCUAAGAACUCCGAAUUUCAUUUAUACCACAGUGGGUUUAUGGUUUAAGGAGCCUAACAGAAUACUGAGCCAGUCAUUCCACAUCUGCUUGGCUCUUCUACAAACAUGUUGCACUGCAAGACAGCUUCUAAGAAGCAAGUGUUGCAAUGGGAGGAAAGCUCCAAGGAUGGAUGUGGUUACCAAAGGUGAUAUGAGAUGACUGACUCAGCAUGGCUGAGGAAGUGGAAAAAGAAAAUAGAGCCAGAGUUUUGUCUGAGUUCAUGGAAAAUCUCCUGUGCAGCAGUCAGACUUGGUGGCAGUUUCAUGAUGGAGCUCUGGGCUGCAUGUCUUCUGGUACGCUUCUCCUUUCUUGUGGAAUACAUUCUCUUUUGAGCCUCCUUCAUGAAUUGGUGGCACUCAGAACAAAGUCUGCAAAAAUGUUACAGCCAACAAGAUAUGUCUGUUCAGACUGUUUUCCUGGAAUGUCCCUCAACAAAAGCUAAUUCCCUUGGGGGGAAGUGCUUCAGUGUCCUUUUGCUCGGAAAUCAUUAGAUUUCAGCCUGUUCUGAAAGCCCAUAAUUGUAAUGUCUCUUUCCAAAAGAUGCUUGGGUUGUU
Gallus gallus (chicken) is the source of this 752-nucleotide long non-coding RNA. The record is from Ensembl. Lineage: Eukaryota; Metazoa; Chordata; Aves; Galliformes; Phasianidae.